CCUACGGGAGGCAGCAGUGGGGAAUUUUCCGCAAUGGGCGAAAGCCUGACGGAGCAAUACCGCGUGAGGGAGGAAGGCUCUUGGGUUGUAAACCUCUUUUUUCAGGGAAGAUAAUGACGGUACCUGAGGAAUAAGCAUCGGCUAACUCCGUGCCAGCAGCCGCGGUAAUACGGAGGAUGCAAGCGUUAUCCGGAAUGAUUGGGCGUAAAGCGUCCGCAGGUGGUUUUAAAAGUCUGUUGUUAAAGCGUGAGGCUUAACCUCAUAAGGGCAAUGGAAACUGUAAGACUAGAGUACGUUCGGGGCAAGGGGAAUUCCCAGUGUAGCGGUGAAAUGCGUAGAGAUUGGGAAGAACACCGGUGGCGAAAGCGCCUUGCUAGGCCGUAACUGACACUGAGGGACGAAAGCUAGGGGAGCGAAUGGGAUUAGAUACCCCAGUAGUCCUAGCCGUAAACGAUGGAUACUAGGCGUUGUCUGUAUCGACCCGGACAGUGCCGUAGCUAACGCGUUAAGUAUCCCGCCUGGGGAGUACGCACGCAAGUGUGAAACUCAAAAGGAAUUGACGG
Molecule: ribosomal RNA, 563 nt
Filed under: uncultured bacterium
Lineage: Bacteria
Description: bacterial SSU rRNA
Rfam family: Bacterial small subunit ribosomal RNA
Source: RNAcentral